RNAcentral lists this ribosomal RNA (245 nucleotides) under uncultured bacterium. Its description in RNAcentral is "partial 16S ribosomal RNA". It matches the Rfam family "Bacterial small subunit ribosomal RNA", at positions 524 to 768 of the family's 1533-position model. The record is from RNAcentral.
UACGGAGGGUGCAAGCGUUGUUCGGAUUCACUGGGUAUAAAGGGUUCGUAGGCGGCCCUGUAAGUCAGAGGUGAAAGCUGCCGGCUCAACUGGCAAACUGCCUUUGAAACUGCGGGGCUUGAGUCCGGGAGAGGAAGGCGGAAUUCCAGGUGUAGCGGUGAAAUGCGUAAAUAUCUGGAGGAACACCGGUGGCGAAGGCGGCCUUCUGGUCCGGUACUGACGCUGAGGAACGAAAGCCAGGGGAG